GACGAACGCUGGCGGCGUGCUUAACACAUGCAAGUCGAACGGAAAGGCCCUGCUUUUGUGGGGUGCUCGAGUGGCGAACGGGUGAGUAACACGUGAGUAACCUGCCCUUUACUUUGGGAUAACUUCAGGAAACUGGUGCUAAUACCUGAUAGGAGCUCCUGCUGCAUGGUGGGGGUUGGAAAGUUUCGGCGGUUGGGGAUGGACUCGCGGGUUAUCAGCUUGUUGGUGGGGUAGUGGCUUACCAAGGCUUUGAAGGGUAGCCGGCCUGAGAGGGUGAACGGCCACAUUGGGACUGAGAUACGGCCCAGACUCCUACGGGAGGCAGCAGUGGGGAAUAUUGCACAAUGGGCGGAAGCCUGAUGCAGAAACGCCGCGUGCGGGAUGACGGCCUUCGGGUUGUAAACCGCUUUCGCCUGUGACGAAGCGUGAGUGACGGUAAUGGGUAAAGAAGCACCGGCUAACUACGUG
RNAcentral lists this ribosomal RNA (468 nucleotides) under uncultured bacterium. RNAcentral describes it as "partial 16S ribosomal RNA". It matches the Rfam family "Bacterial small subunit ribosomal RNA", at positions 28 to 507 of the family's 1533-position model. The record is from RNAcentral.